GAGGCCUGUAGGGCGCUCGCUCUUCGCUGGGCCGAGUCCCCCCGCGCGCUGCAGAGCAAUACAGUUCUGUAAAAGUUUAUUAUUCUGACGUUGGAAUAUGCUCCUUGGAGACAAUUCAGAACUUGCAGAAACCAGAGCCCCGCGGCCCCUCCCUGCGUAGACUGCGGGCGGCUGUCCCGGGCGUGGGCUGCGGCCCCGCGGGCCCAUGCGUGUUCUGGGGACUCUGGGGCGCUGGUUCAGUCCCGCGUGUGUGGGAGUCACGUUCACCUCCUCAGUGCCAGGUGCUGUCCGCGCACCCGUCGGAGCGCCUCGGUUCACCGUGCAGAGGUGUGGGCUCCGGGGCAGGGAAGGGUCCACCCCACCUCCCGCGCUGCAGCGAGCUUGACAGUGCUUGCGAAAGCCGUUCCUGUUCUCCACCGCGAGAGGUGCCUCUUGUUUCCAGUGAUUUAUUGCACUUACAACGUUGAUGUUUACAAAGAACCGCAUAUUUAUUCAAGCACAGAAGUUCGUUUCCCGCAAAUACACGUGUGAAGGAAAACCAGAUGAGUCAGAGUGUGGGAGGCCUUCCCAGCAGGAUGGAUGUUGGUUUCCUUGAUUUCCCCAGCACACCUGCCCCUGCCUGGCUGGGCAUCUUGAAUCAAUUUGCAGACAACUGCCAAGAAAAGCUUGAGGUGCAUUAUUUUCAGAAAUUGAUGAGCAAUUCGAAAUCAAACCAGGGUCUAUUGGGUGUUUACAGUGCCAGGAUCUGAGCUAGGGGCCAGAGAAUGAAAGCUAAGAAAAGACAGAUAGCAUCUCAAAGUCGUGGGGGAGGAGAGACAAAAACAGCAAAACUCAUACAAGUCAGGAUGAAGAAGUGGUUGGGACAGAGCUGGGGAUGAGCACUGAGGAGCUGGGGCAUCAGAGGAGGAGCUGGAGUGUCAGGGCAGUGCACGGAGUUGCUGUGGAAUCGGGAGGAGCACAGAGGAGCUGGGAGGAGCUAGGGAGUCAGGAGAGGAGCACAGAGGAGCUGGGGAGUCAGGGGAGAAGCAUGGAGGAGAUGGGGAGGAGCUGAGGAGUCAGAGGAGGACCAUGGAGGGGAUAGAGAGUUGGGAGGAGCAGAGAGGAGUUGGGGAGUCAGGAGGAGCAUGGAGGAGAUGGGGAGUUGGGAGGAGCACAGAGGAGAUGAGGAGUCAGGGGAGGAGCAUGGAGGAGAUGAGGAUUCAGGGGAGGAGCUGGGGAGUCGGGAGGAGCACGGAGGAGCUGCGGAGUCAGGAGAGGAGCAUGGAGGAGAUAGGGAAGAGCUAGGGAGUCGGGAGGAUCACAGAGGAGAUGGGAAGGGGCUGAGGAGUCAGAGGAGGAACGUGGAAGAGCUGGAGAGUUAGGGGAGGAGCACGGAGGAGCUGAGGAGUCAGGAGAGGAGCACCGAGGAGAUGGGGAGGAUCUGGGAAGUCGGGAGGAGCACAGAGGACACAGGGAGUCAGGGGAGGAGCAUGGAGGAGAUGGGGAAGAGCUGGGGAGUCAGGGGAGGCUCACGGAGAAGAUGGGGAGUCAGGAGAAGAGCACAGAGGAGGUGGGGAAGAGCUGGGGAGUCAGGGGAGGAGCAGGGGAGUCGGGAGGAGCAGGGAGGAGGUGCCAUUAAAUCAGGCCUUGCAGCCUGGGAGGAGUGUGACCCUCAAGGGAAAGGGAGUCAGGCCCAGGGGUUGGUGGUGGGACAUGGCUGCUUCUGCUUGGCUGCAGAGUGGGCAGAGUAGAUUGAAGGGAGCCAGCCAGGCAAAAUUCCCCGGGACCUCAACCUUUGAGGACACAACAGCACCACAGAAAAUAAGCCGAAUUGGCAAAAUGUAAAAAGACCCCGCCCCCAUCACCGUGCAAGGCUCUGGGAAGUGGAGAGAAAUCAACAGCCUCUCAAAGUGCCUCAAUGGCAGUUGCCGGGCUGGAAAGCCCCAUGUCAUCAAGCCUUUACCCUCCACACAGUGGAGGCAGCACUGGUUCCUUCCUGCAAUCGACAAAUACGUUUGAACAAAUAGAUGAAGAAUAUCAGUUGGAAGGUACCCAAUUAUAAACCUUCCUGGAUACCUGCUGUGAAUCUGGCUCUUAGAGUGGGGCACGUGCACUGAGCUAUGGGAAACCCCUUUGGUCCCCAAGCCGAGGGCCAGGAGGCACUGGAUGGCCACCUGCCACUCAUCUGCACUCCUGCAGUGAGGGGGCUGGGCAGGCCCUCCACGGCCUGUGCUGUGGAACUGAAUGGACUG
This 2231-nucleotide long non-coding RNA is filed under the name Homo sapiens (human). RNAcentral's name for it is "HSALNT0169509". Lineage: Eukaryota; Metazoa; Chordata; Mammalia; Primates; Hominidae. The record is from RNAcentral.